This 423-nucleotide ribosomal RNA is filed under the name uncultured bacterium. RNAcentral's name for it is "bacterial SSU rRNA". It matches the Rfam family "Bacterial small subunit ribosomal RNA", at positions 358 to 773 of the family's 1533-position model. The record is from RNAcentral.
GGAAUAUUGGACAAUGGGGGCAACCCUGAUCCAGCCAUGCCGCGUGUGCGAAGAAGGCCUUCGGGUUGUCAAGCACUUUCAGUAGGGAGGAAGGCCUGUAGCUUAAUACUCUGCAGGAUUGACGUUACCUACAUAAGAAGCACCGGCUAACUCCGUGACAGCAGCCGCGGUAAUACGGAGGGUGCAAGCGUUAAUCGGCAUUACUGGGCGUAAAGCGCGCGUAGGCGGUUAGUUAAGCUGGAUGUGAAAGCCCCGGGCUCAACCUGGGAACUGCAUUCAGAACGGGCUGGCUAGAGUACGAGAGAGGGUAGUGGAAUUUCCUGUGUAGCGGUGAAAUGCGUAGAUAUAGGAAGGAACAUCAGUGGCGAAGGCGACUGCCUGGCUCGAUACUGACGCUGAGGUGCGAAAGCGUGGGGAGCAAAC